RNAcentral lists this ribosomal RNA (483 nucleotides) under uncultured bacterium. RNAcentral describes it as "partial 16S ribosomal RNA". It matches the Rfam family "Bacterial small subunit ribosomal RNA", at positions 29 to 507 of the family's 1533-position model. The record is from RNAcentral.
UUGAACGCUGGCGGCAUGCUUUACACAUGCAAGUCGAACGGCAGCGCGGGCUUCGGCCUGGCGGCGAGUGGCGAACGGGUGAGUAAUACAUCGGAACGUGCCCAGGAGUGGGGGAUAGCUCGGCGAAAGCCGGAUUAAUACCGCAUACGACCUGAGGGUGAAAGCGGGGGAUCUUCGGACCUCGCGCUAUUGGAGCGGCCGAUGGCAGAUUAGCUAGUUGGUGGGGUAAAGGCCUACCAAGGCGACGAUCUGUAGCUGGUCUGAGAGGACGACCAGCCACACUGGGACUGAGACACGGCCCAGACUCCUACGGGAGGCAGCAGUGGGGAAUUUUGGACAAUGGGCGAAAGCCUGAUCCAGCAAUGCCGCGUGUGUGAUGAAGGCCUUCGGGUUGUAAAGCACUUUUGGCGGGAACGAAAAGGACUGUGCCAAUACCACGGUUCGAUGACGGUACCCGCAGAAUAAGCACCGGCUAACUACGUG